RNAcentral lists this ribosomal RNA (484 nucleotides) under uncultured bacterium. RNAcentral describes it as "bacterial SSU rRNA". It matches the Rfam family "Bacterial small subunit ribosomal RNA", at positions 8 to 526 of the family's 1533-position model. The record is from RNAcentral.
AGAGUUUGAUCAUGGCUCAGAACGAACGCUUGCUGCAUGCUUUAUACAUGCAAGUCGAACGGAGGCCCUAGCCUGCUAGGUGUCCUUAGUGGCGCACGGGUGAGUAACACGUGGGAACAUACCUUAUAGUACGGAAUAACUGCGGGAAACUGUAGCUAAUACCGUAUACUCCAGUAAUGGGAAAGAUUUAUCGCUAUAAGAUUGGCCCGCGCAAGAUUAGUUUGUUGGUGAGGUAAAAGCUCACCAAGGCUUCGAUCUUUAGCUGGUUUGAGAGGACGAUCAGCCACACUGGGACUGAGACACGGCCCAGACUCCUACGGGAGGCAGCAGUAGGGAAUAUUGGACAAUGGGGGCAACCCUGAUCCAGCAAUGCAGCGUGAGUGACGAAGGCCUUAGGGUUGUAAAACUCUUUCAUCGGUGAGGAUAAUGACAGUAGCCGAAGAAGAAGGACCGGCUAAUUCCGUGCCAGCAGCCGCGGUAAUUC